RNAcentral lists this ribosomal RNA (465 nucleotides) under uncultured bacterium. Its description in RNAcentral is "partial 16S ribosomal RNA". It matches the Rfam family "Bacterial small subunit ribosomal RNA", at positions 29 to 505 of the family's 1533-position model. The record is from RNAcentral.
ACGAACGCUGGCGGCGUGCUUAACACAUGCAAGUCGAACGGAAAGGCCCUGCUUUUGUGGGGUGCUCGAGUGGCGAACGGGUGAGUAACACGUGAGUAACCUGCCCUUGACUUUGGGAUAACUUCAGGAAACUGGGGCUAAUACCGGAUAGGAGCUCCUGCUGCAUGGUGGGGGUUGGAAAGUUUCGGCGGUUGGGGAUGGACUCGCGGCUUAUCAGCUUGUUGGUGGGGUAGUGGCUUACCAAGGCUUUGACGGGUAGCCGGCCUGAGAGGGUGACCGGCCAACAUGGGGAUGGGAUGCCGCCGCGGCGCCUACGGGGGGAAGGGGGGGGGAAUAUUGGACAAAGGGGGGGAGGCUGAUGCAGGCACCGCGCGGGGGGGAUGACGGCCUUCGGGGUGAAAACCGGUUUCCGCUGGGGCGAAGGGGGGGGGGCGGUAAAGGGAAAAAAAGCCCCCGCAAACAACG